UUGAGUGCCGAUUGGCUCAGUCGGUUGAGUGCCAGCAUGGUGUGCUGGCGGUCGCGGGUCAAGCAUCGCGUGUCGUUCAAA
This 81-nucleotide transfer RNA is filed under the name Pythium insidiosum. RNAcentral's name for it is "tRNA-Thr". Lineage: Eukaryota; Oomycota; Peronosporomycetes; Pythiales; Pythiaceae. The record is from RNAcentral.